UACGGAGGGUGCUAGCGUUGUUCGGAAUUACUGGGCGUAAAGAGCUCGUAGGCGGUCUGUUGCGUCGGCUGUGAAAACCCGAGGCUCAACCUCGGGCCUGCAGCCGAUACGGGCAGACUAGAGUUCGGCAGGGGAGACUGGAAUUCCUGGUGUAGCGGUGAAAUGCGCAGAUAUCAGGAGGAACACCUGAGGUGAAGACGGGUUGCUGGGCUGACACUGACGCUGAGGCGCGAAAGCCAGGGGAGCAAACGGG
This 253-nucleotide ribosomal RNA is filed under the name uncultured bacterium. RNAcentral's name for it is "partial 16S ribosomal RNA". It matches the Rfam family "Bacterial small subunit ribosomal RNA", at positions 524 to 776 of the family's 1533-position model. The record is from RNAcentral.